Molecule: ribosomal RNA, 301 nt
Filed under: uncultured bacterium
Lineage: Bacteria
Description: partial 16S ribosomal RNA
Rfam family: Bacterial small subunit ribosomal RNA
Source: RNAcentral
CAGUAGCCGCGGUAAUACGUAGGUGGCAAGCGUUGUCCGGAAUUACUGGGCGUAAAGCGUGCGUAGGUGGUGGUUUAAGUCCGUUGUGAAAGCCCUGGGCUCAACCUGGGAAUUGCAGUGGAUACUGGGUCACUAGAGUGUGGUAGAGGAUAGUGGAAUUUCCGGUGUAGCAGUGAAAUGCGUAGAGAUCGGAAGGAACAUCUGUGGCGAAGGCGACUAUCUGGGCCAACACUGACACUGAGGCACGAAAGCGUGGGGAGCAAACAGGAUUAGAUACCCCGGUAGUCCCUGUCUCUUAUAC